RNAcentral lists this long non-coding RNA (1530 nucleotides) under Sus scrofa (pig). RNAcentral describes it as "lncRNA (ENSSSCG00070004480.1)". The record is from RNAcentral. Lineage: Eukaryota; Metazoa; Chordata; Mammalia; Artiodactyla; Suidae.
GCAUUUUUCUUGGUGACUAUAACUUGGCAGAAGUGGAGGGUGGGGAGGAGAGGAGGGGGAAGGGGAGGAAAUCUGAGUCCCCCAGAGUGACCAGCCUUCACGGUCUUGUGGCCUUUUCAAGUCCAAGGGAAAAGCAUGAGAAUGGGCCUGAGUGAGCUUGGAAUGGACUUGGAGAGGUGAAGUCCUGGCUUCACAGGGACCUGCAAGGAUCGUGCAGCCUGAGCGGAGUCAAGGUCCCUUGGAUGUUUUGGGUUCUUAGAAAUGGAGGCAACUCACCUCAUGGUCCUUGUGGCCCCAUGGCCUUCGAAAUAGGGGUUUGUAAGAGUGGCCGUGGGACAUCCUCAACGCCCACCUGCAGUGAGAAUUUCAUUCCACAGGUAACCACAGGCUGCCAGAGUCCCACCCCCUUCUGGAUAUUCAGAGCCAUCAGCCCCUGCCAGACCAGUUCCAGAUUCUCAGUGAAACGGCUCUUUGAAUAUAAGAUAGGGCUAAAAUAUGACAGUACUGGAGACUAAGGAAGAUGCUUUCCGGUGCCGGACUGAAGGAACGUCACAUGAGAUUUAAAUGGCAGAUUGAAAGAAGACAACAGAGAGUCAGUCAGGACGAUUCCAAGAAACCCAAGCCCAUCAGAGGUACGAGCUGAAGAUGCUGGCCCAGUGGUGUCCUAGUUGAAGGGGAGAGGUGGCGGGGGGGGGAUUGCCAGCAGGUAACAGGGAAAUUGGGUCAUAUCCCUCCUUGGGUUGGUUUACCUGGUCCUCCACAACACAGUAGCACAGAGUGUGUGGCUCAGACAGCAGAGAUGGAUUUUCUCAGAGUUCUGGAGGCUGAAAGUCCAAGAUUGAGUACCAGCAGGGCUGCUUUCUCCUGAGACCUCUCCUUGGCUUGCAGAGAGCUGCCUCUGCCUGUGUCCUCACCUGGCGUUUUCUGUGUGUGUGUCCAUCUCAGGGAGCUCUUGCUCUUCUUGUAAGGACACCAGUCAUCUUGGAUUAGGGUCUCACCGUUAUUUCAGUUAGUAUUAAUUACCUCUUUAAAGAACGCUAUUUCUACAUACAGUCACGUUUGUUGUUUCAACAUGUAAAUUUGGGAGGGGACAUGAUUCAGUCUAUAACACUUCUCUCUUUAAAAGUCUUCAAAGGCCUUAAAAUGGCCUAAAAGCUCCCCCCACCCCCCAGUACAGUCCGGUUCAGUGUUGCCUCUCGAACGUUUUCUCCUAACACUCCUCACCUUGGUAUGUUCCCCUCCAGCCACACUGAUCCUCCUACUGUAUCUCUGACACCAAGCAUACCCCUGGUCAAGGCCUUCGAGCAGUGAUGCUCAGUCCCUGGGAUGCUUUGCCUGCAGAGGGCCCCAUAGCUAGUUCCCUCCCUGCUUGCAAGGUCCCUGUCCAGAGAGCUCCUUGCCAAAGAAGCCUUUUCUGACCAGCACAUGGAACCCAGAACUCACUGUCUCUUGCGUUUCUUUACAGAGCUUUAUGAUCUUUUUCCAUAACACUUAACAUCUUGCAAUAAAUAUACUUUUUGCUCAUUUCCA